Molecule: ribosomal RNA, 418 nt
Filed under: uncultured bacterium
Lineage: Bacteria
Description: bacterial SSU rRNA
Rfam family: Bacterial small subunit ribosomal RNA
Source: RNAcentral
AUUGAACGCUGGCGGCAUGCUUUACACAUGCAAGUCGGACGGCAGCACAGAGAAGCUUGCUUCUUGGGUGGCGAGUGGCGAACGGGUGAGUAACAUAUCGGAACGUACCGAGCAGUGGGGGAUAACUAAUCGAAAGAUUAGCUAAUACCGCAUAUUUUCUGAGGAAGAAAGCAGGGGACCUUUGGGCCUUGCGCUGUUUGAGCGGCCGAUAUCUGAUUAGCUAGUUGGUGGGGUAAAGGCCUACCAAGGCGACGAUCAGUAGCGGGUCUGAGAGGAUGAUCCGCCACACUGGGGACUGAGACACGGCCCAGACUCCUACGGGAGGCAGCAGUGGGGAAUUUUGGACAAUGGGCGCAAGCCUGAUCCAGCCAUGCCGCGUGUCUGAAGAAGGCCUUCGGGUUGUAAAGGACUUUUGUCG